This 82-nucleotide transfer RNA is filed under the name Herbaspirillum sp. RNAcentral's name for it is "tRNA-Leu". It matches the Rfam family "tRNA". Rfam says of the family: Transfer RNA (tRNA) molecules are approximately 80 nucleotides in length. Their secondary structure includes four short double-helical elements and three loops (D, anti-codon, and T loops). Further hydrogen bonds mediate the characteristic L-shaped molecular structure. tRNAs have two regions of fundamental functional importance: the anti-codon, which is responsible for specific mRNA codon recognition, and the 3' end, to which the tRNAs corresponding amino acid is attached (by aminoacyl-tRNA synthetases). tRNAs cope with the degeneracy of the genetic code in two manners: having more than one tRNA (with a specific anti-codon) for a particular amino acid; and 'wobble' base-pairing, i.e. permitting non-standard base-pairing at the 3rd anti-codon position. Lineage: Bacteria; Pseudomonadati; Pseudomonadota; Betaproteobacteria; Burkholderiales; Oxalobacteraceae. The record is from RNAcentral.
GGCAGGAUGAACGACUGGUCUAAGGUACUGGUGUAAGGCACCAGUCACUUCGGUGGCGUAGGUUCGAGUCCCACUCCUGUUA